AACGAACGCUGGCGGCAUGCCUAACACAUGCAAGUCGAACGAGACCUUCGGGUCUAGUGGCGCACGGGUGCGUAACGCGUGGGAAAAUGCCCUUAGGUUCGGAAUAACUCCCCGAAAGGGGUGCUAAUACCGGAUAAAGUCUCCGGACCAAAGAUUUAUCGCCAUUGGAUGGGCCCGCGUUGGAUUAGUUAGUUGGUAGGGUAAAAGCCUAUCAAGGCGACGAUCCAUAGCUGGUUUGAGAGGAUGGUCAGCCACACUGGGACGGAGACACGGCCAAGACUCCUACCGGAUGCAGCAAAGGGUGAUAUUGGACCAUGGGGUGAAGCCAGAACCACUCAUGCCUGUAAAGUUAUUUAAGCCUUAAGGUUGUAAAGCUCUUUUACCCCGGGUUGUUAUGACGUUACCCGGAGAAUAAGCUCCGGCUAACUCCGUG
Molecule: ribosomal RNA, 433 nt
Filed under: uncultured bacterium
Lineage: Bacteria
Description: partial 16S ribosomal RNA
Rfam family: Bacterial small subunit ribosomal RNA
Source: RNAcentral